RNAcentral lists this unclassified non-coding RNA (357 nucleotides) under uncultured fungus. Its description in RNAcentral is "sequence contains ITS1". The record is from RNAcentral. Lineage: Eukaryota; Fungi.
AGCAGUAGCGCGAGUUCACAUGGGAUUGGGAACAACUGCGAGAAGCCGAAGAAGAAUCGUCAUCGAAGAAGGUUAUCUGUCGUACCCCAUUUUGGAUGCUUUUUCGUGUUUCCCCUGUUUUCAGCAGCGACGGUGGCGCCGUCGUGCACUUUGUUGUCGUACAGGUACCACUUCAAAAAAAGGAAGGGUCUGAAGUGAGGGAUUUCGGGUUCGGGUGCUGUCGGAAGGAAGUGUGCGUGGAUUCGUUGGUGGAGAUGAUCACAUUUGUUCAUUGGAGCAAUUGCUCGAACAUGAUGUCAGAGGUUUAUUUCUUUGUUUUGCUUUUUUUUUUUUCCUUCCUUUUCUUUACUUUUUCAU